CGCGGUGGCGCAGCGGUUAGCGCUGUCGCCUCCCAGCAAGAAGGUCCCGGGUUCGAACCUCGGCUUGUGG
Molecule: transfer RNA, 70 nt
Filed under: Anguilla anguilla (European eel)
Lineage: Eukaryota; Metazoa; Chordata; Actinopteri; Anguilliformes; Anguillidae
Description: tRNA-OTHER
Source: RNAcentral